RNAcentral lists this ribosomal RNA (468 nucleotides) under uncultured bacterium. RNAcentral's name for it is "partial 16S ribosomal RNA". It matches the Rfam family "Bacterial small subunit ribosomal RNA", at positions 28 to 507 of the family's 1533-position model. The record is from RNAcentral.
GACGAACGCUGGCGGCGUGCUUAACACAUGCAAGUCGAGCGGAAAGGCCCUGCUUUUGUGGGGUGCUCGAGUGGCGAACGGGUGAGUAACACGUGAGUAACCUGCCCUUGACUUUGGGAUAACUUCAGGAAACUGGGGCUAAUACCGGAUAGGAGCUCCUGCUGCAUGGUGGGGGUUGGAAAGUUUCGGCGGUUGGGGAUGGACUCGCGGCUUAUCAGCUUGUUGGUGGGGUAGUGGCUUACCAAGGCUUUGACGGGUAGCCGGCCUGAGAGGGUGACCGGCCACAUUGGGACUGAGAGACGGACCAGACUCCUACGGGAGGCAGCAGUGGGGAAUAUUGCACAAUGGGCGGAAGCCUGAUGCAGCAACGCCGCGUGCGGGAUGACGGCCUUCGGGUUGUAAACCGCUUUCGCCUGUGACGAAGCGUGAGUGACGGUAAUGGGUAAAGAAGCACCGGCUAACUACGUG